Non-coding RNA from Cyanistes caeruleus (blue tit), 3026 nucleotides. NCBI's taxonomy places the organism in Eukaryota, Metazoa, Chordata, Aves, Passeriformes, Paridae. The record is from RefSeq and is a predicted model, not a curated record.
CUUUUAUUUUUUUCCACAAUUGGGCUGUCAGGGUCUUCAUUACUACUGCACUCAGUUCAUUAGUCAGUGGUUUAAAAUUCAUCUGAGGGGGUGAAUUUUGAGCCUGGGCUUUGCUCUGAGCUAGCCUAAGGAAGGUAUCUUGGGUUGGACUCUGGCAAGCAGUGGCAUGCUUAUCUUUCUAAGGUUAAUUCAGGUAAUUCAAGUGGAUUGUCUGCUUCAGUUUCAUUCUGCCAUAGUGGAGUGCCACACACGAGAUCAAAAUGAAGAGUAACAGAUUUUAAUUUUUUCCUCCCUACAGUUGCCAAUGAGGUAAAUCCUGAAAGCUGUAGUAUCUUCCUGCUUUCAUUGGCAGAAAUUUCAUUGACGGGAGCCGGCAGGGUAGCACGUGCAAUAGCGUGUAAUUGAGAGGAGACUCCAACUCCACAAGUCCCAGUGAGCACUUGACUACCCUUGUUCCCUGGACGAUUUGUAGGUGGAGGGAGAAAGGGUUGAGACAGGCAUGUUACUUGGGUUAUUCUAGGGGAAUGGGUGAUAUUCUCCUCCUCCUCCUCCCGAAUUAAUAAAUCUGUGCUUUAGCACUUCUGUGGGUAGUUUGCAAUAUGGACAAGUCUGGUAAAGUCUGAAAUAAACGUGGUGUCUGUUUUCUGGAGACAAAACUGAAUCCUUGGUUCUAUGUAUGUGCAUACUCUCUGCUGUAGAUACCGUGUAAUCCCUCCUGAAUCUCAACACGUGCUCACUUGCUCACUCUUACUGCAUUUCUUGUUCUUGCCUUUUCUGUCAUAGUGACUGUUAAGAACUGCAAUAAACUGGCAACAGCUAGGCGAAUAGAGCAUUCUUCUGAACAUAAGUUGUUUGAGACUGGAACAUGAACUAGAUACUGCUUGACUCUCUGAAAUUAAGGAUUAAUUAAAACAAAUAGACACUUGGUGCAAUGUGCUAAAUAGUUUCUAGUCUUGGUUUAGGAGAAAAAUAGGAGCAACCUUUUAAAGUUCUUAAGUUUGAGUUUGUUGGGUUUUUUUUCUUUAAAAUAUGGGGGAGAGGGGUUAGUAAAUGGAUUUAAAGGACUCUUUGGAAAUAACACGAGUUUUAAAAAGGUGUUCUAAGUGUUUGCAUAACUUUAUUUAUGUGAGCACCACUAUUAAAUUGGGCCUUCAGUUAGGAAGGGGUUACUCAGACAAAUAAAUUUGUAACAGGGAAUAAGUAUUUAGAAGACCCUGGCCUAUAAUUUGUAAGUUUGAAGACUAAAGUCUCCCAAGUCUUGUUUAUCCUAAUGCAGAUUAUUCAGGAAGAGACAUUAACAAUAAUCUGAUUUAUACAUACCUUUAUACAACUAAUUUGUAACUUGGUAAUGCCAAAGGCAGUUAUGAGUUUUUACAGAAAUGUAAUAAGAAAGAAACUUCUACUUUUGCAACAACUUAUAUUAAGUCUUGCUGGCACAUUAAUUGAGGAAAAAGGACACAGGAUGAAAAUUCCACUGGAAAAAGGUCAGGGAGGAACAGAAGAUGCCUCCUGAAGAAAAUGUAUCUCACUGAAGAUUUUCUUCCCUCUUUGCAAGAGAGGACUAACAGAAAUAAGGAGUAUAUAACUCUUUCACAAAAAGGUGGAUUUGGUGGGGGAAAACAUCUUGCAUCUCUGUCCUACUCCCUAUUAUAUACAUAUCUAUUGGAAGAUACUACAAAUUGAACCUGUGGACUUACGAUUUAAAAAGUGCAUUGGGGAAUAGUAGGAAGGCCUAGAAAAACCUUCUCAACAAGUGGUGUAACCUUCCUGACAGUCAGAAGGUUAGUAAAAGACACUGAUCAAAGCAGAGGAGUCAGUAACUCAAAGAAGUUGGUCUCAGCAAGCGAGGAGUGUCUGAUACCACAGACUCCUUCAUAGGCACAAGCAUGGCUUCAAUAGAUGCUCUUCUAGACACAGAAGCUGAUGAUGCAACUGGUAGGAUCCUCUUUUAUUUAAUGUACUUGACUUGUAAUAAGUUUAAUAGUUCUGGUCUGUUAUUUCUUUUAUGGUGGCUUGUAAUCCAAGAGUUGCCUGACACCAAUUCAGUCCUGAUGGGAAUAGCUGCAAUUUAAAGCUGACCUACACAAAGACUGAAUUUGGUUUAUGAUAUCUGUAAUCUUUUAACUUUGAAACAAAGUUCAAGGGAAACAUUCAAGGCAUAAGGAUUUUAAUGACCAUAUCUCAGUAGCAUAUUCAUGCAGCUUGAACCUUAAACUGUUGUGCUUUCUUUAAUAACUAGUUUUUAAAAAGAAUGAGAACAGAUUGUUUCAGAAAGAAGUUUUGUGUAAAUCCUUGUCUCAUUUACCAUUAUAAAUAUUCAUAGAUCAUUCAGCAGAUCCACCCUGGGAAGAUGCAAUUACUACCCAUAGGGAAGGUGUAUUAAAAAACUCUUGGUACUUUUAACAAGUGGAAUUUUUAUUUGAAACUGUCAACAUCAAAUCAGAGCAUCUCAGAAAACCGAGGAGCUCGUUUAAGUGAUUUGUGUAAUAGUCCACUCAAAUGUGGUGAUUGCUGGUAUCCUUAUGCCUUUGUUGUUACCCACACCAAGAAAAACAAUGCAUCAAGAACAAGGUGAGGGAGCAGUUCUAAGUCUUGGACUGUGGAGAUUAGUUUUCUGGUAGUGACAUUAAAAUGUCAACACACACCCGUUCUUUUUGGUGACAGGCGGAUUUGGGUACUCAGUGAUUGCAGGGCUGGACCAUUCUUAAGGUCAAUGAAGAAAGUUUUCUUGAAUGGUGAACCGUGGACUUCAUUUUGUGCCCUGAGAGACUAUGGGUAGUCCGACAAAGACUUGACUCAAGGAAGAGAACUUAGAAGAUCAAGUUAUAGCACAAAUUCAGGGCUCUGAUAAAAACUGAGAUGUUGAUGGCAAUGAACAUUAUUUCAGAAAUUAAUAACUUCCAGUAUUAAAUGGUAAGCUGUUUGGGAGAAGGGAAAAUAUCUAGAGGAGAUGCUGAAUUUUGCCAAUUGUUGAACAGAACUGAGCAUAAAAAUACAGUUUCAAUAAAGUUGUUCCUCAGACUGGU